UCCGGGGAGCCCGAGUUCGGGCUGAGAGGGGGCCGCGGUGGCCCCGACCCAUUGAACCUGAUCCGGUCAGUACCGGCGUAGGAACGUGAU
RNAcentral lists this non-coding RNA (90 nucleotides) under bovine gut metagenome. RNAcentral's name for it is "TPP riboswitch (THI element)". It matches the Rfam family "TPP riboswitch aptamer (THI element)", at positions 11 to 88 of the family's 105-position model. Rfam says of the family: Vitamin B(1) in its active form thiamin pyrophosphate (TPP) is an essential coenzyme that is synthesised by coupling of pyrimidine and thiazole moieties in bacteria. The record is from RNAcentral.